This 465-nucleotide ribosomal RNA is filed under the name Vreelandella stevensii. RNAcentral's name for it is "partial 16S ribosomal RNA". It matches the Rfam family "Bacterial small subunit ribosomal RNA", at positions 338 to 795 of the family's 1533-position model. Lineage: Bacteria; Pseudomonadati; Pseudomonadota; Gammaproteobacteria; Oceanospirillales; Halomonadaceae. The record is from RNAcentral.
CCUACGAGGUGCAGCAGUGGGGAAUAUUGGACAAUGGGCGAAAGCCUGAUCCAGCCAUGCCGCGUGUGUGAAGAAGGCCUUCGGGUUGUAAAGCACUUUCAGUGGGGAAGAAAGCCUUGGGGCUAAUACCCUCGAGGAAGGACAUCACCCACAGAAGAAGCACCGGCUAACUCCGUGCCAGCAGCCGCGGUAAUACGGAGGGUGCGAGCGUUAAUCGGAAUUACUGGGCGUAAAGCGCGCGUAGGCGGUCUGAUAAGCCGGUUGUGAAGGCCCCGGGCUCAACCUGGGAACGGCAUCCGGAACUGUCAGGCUAGAGUGCAGGAGAGGAAGGUAGAAUUCCCGGUGUAGCGGUGAAAUGCGUAGAGAUCGGGAGGAAUACCAGUGGCGAAGGCGGCCUUCUGGACUGACACUGACGCUGAGGUGCGAAAGCGUGGGUAGCAAACAGGAUUAGAUACCCGUGUAGUC